Labrus bergylta (ballan wrasse) is the source of this 779-nucleotide non-coding RNA. NCBI's taxonomy places the organism in Eukaryota, Metazoa, Chordata, Actinopteri, Labriformes, Labridae. The record is from RefSeq and is a predicted model, not a curated record.
GUCAUUGAGGGAACAGGAAGUUAUAAAGGAAACAGGAAGUUGAGGGUUCUUUCUUUAAUCUUCAAGGCUGCCCACAGCAGGCAGCAACAGCAAUGUGCAGCUCCUGCAAUUGAAAGACAAUGUUUAGAUUUAGUUUGGACCAACAAAGACAAUCCUCAUAGCAAAGCAUGCACAGUUGACGGCGAGCUCCUCCAGCGCCUGCAGCACCUCCUUCACCUCCUCCUUCAGCUGGUUCUCCGUUUACAGCCGGCACAGCUCCUCCUGGGAGGGACGUGGGGUCAGAGGACGCAGCUCGGUGAAGGACCGUCUCCCCCCUGGUCAACAGAAGAGAGAGAGAGAGACAACAUCACCCGAGGAACAGACAUCAACCCCCCUGCUGCUUCUUUUGGUGUCUUGUGUUUAUGAUGGCACAUAUAUCAUCACAUAUAGACUGAACAGAGAUCAGAGCACAGAUACAGGAACAGCAUCAUCAUCUACACUCUGUUAACAUUUAAAUAAAGUGUUUAACAUUUUAAAAACCUCAUGGUUUCAGUUCAAUGUUCGAUGUUUUCAAGCACAAAUAGAAUCUGUACUUACUGCAGUUUUUCUGUAAGGACUAAAAACUACUUAAAGGCAGGGUUGGUGAUUUUCUCCAGAUCCACUUUUUAAGAUUGUGGUUGAAAUGAUCAACCCUGCCUUUAACCCAGACAAGACUCUCUCUUACCUGCUGUUUGUAAAGUGUCUUGAGAUAACAUUUGUAUUGAGUUGGCGCUCUACAAAAUAAAGAUUGAUUGAACUGA